This 658-nucleotide long non-coding RNA is filed under the name Brachypodium distachyon (stiff brome). RNAcentral describes it as "long non-coding RNA (BDIS_LNC005657)". The record is from RNAcentral. Lineage: Eukaryota; Viridiplantae; Streptophyta; Magnoliopsida; Poales; Poaceae.
GGCGCGAGCGGCGACGAGGAUGGUUCACCGAGACGGCGUCGGCGAGCGAAGAUGCGGCGGUGUCCGAAGUUUCAACGACGAGCAAUUCCGGCGGCGUGGCGGCACGAUAGCGAGGGGGAACAGACGGGAAAGAAGCGCGGCGGUGGGGGCUUUAUAGGGACGCGGGCUGCGCACUUAGGGAAGGUCGGGAAUGGCAGGCGCGAGGAUUGCGGCAACGCGGGGAUCUUGCGCGUGACCGGCGGCGCUUUCCUUCAGGGAAGAUGCAGCUGACAGGUGGACCCCGCCUGUCAGCGACUGCGGGCGCGCGCGCGCGGACCGGGCGGUCUGGGCCAGUCGGGCCAUUUUGGCCGGGCCGGGCCGGUUUACCCUUUUUUUUUUCUUUUAGGCCUUUUCUUUUUCUGUUUUUCUCAUUUCUUUGAUAUCUUUUGUGUUUGAACUCCAAAUUGGUCCAAAUAAAUUUCAGAAAAUUUGUAAAAUCAUAUUCGACCAUGAUACAACUUUUGGGAGUAGUUUCUCUUCAAAAUAAAAUAUAUAAAAAAUACAUUUGCUCUAUAAAUGCCUUUAGGGCCAUAUAUCUAUUUAAAUAAAAUACUUUUUCAACUCUCAAUAAUUAUCCAAAAAUUAUGGGAUAGCUUAUAUAUGCAUUAAACCCCUUUUA